Molecule: small RNA, 58 nt
Filed under: Plasmodium falciparum 3D7
Lineage: Eukaryota; Apicomplexa; Aconoidasida; Haemosporida; Plasmodiidae
Description: Pfa-starR6417a
Source: RNAcentral
UUAGUUGUGAUGUUGUUAGUAGUCAUGUAAGUGAUGUUGUUAGUAGUCAUGUAAGUAG